AGCAGCCGCGGUAAUUCCAGCUCCAAUAGCGUAUAUUAAAGUUGUUGCAGUUAAAAAGCUCGUAGUUGAAUUUCGGGAUCAAUAUACCGGUCGUGCCUCAGGUAUGAACUGGUCUUAUUGGUUUCUCCCUUCUGACGAACCAUGAUGUCAUUAAUUUGAUGUCGUGGAGAAUCAGGACUGUUACUUUGAAAAAUUAGAGUGUUUAAAGCAGGCUAACGCUUGAAUACAUUAGCAUGGAAUAAUGAAAUAGGACGUUCGAUCCUAUUUUGUUGGUUUCUAGGAUCGACGUAAUGAUUAAUAGGGAUAGUUGGGGGCAUUAGUAUUCAAUUGUCAGAGGUGAAAUUCUUGGAUUUAUUGAAGACUAACUACUGCGAAAGCAUUUGCCAAGGAUGUUUUCAUUAAUCAAGAACGAAAGUUAGGGGAUCGAAGACGA
This 433-nucleotide ribosomal RNA is filed under the name uncultured Glomus. RNAcentral's name for it is "SSU rRNA". It matches the Rfam family "Eukaryotic small subunit ribosomal RNA", at positions 569 to 1007 of the family's 1831-position model. The record is from RNAcentral. Lineage: Eukaryota; Fungi; Glomeromycota; Glomeromycetes; Glomerales; Glomeraceae.